GAUGAACGCUGGCGGCGUGCCUAAUACAUGCAAGUCGAGCGAACGGACGAGAAGCUUGCUUCUCUGAUGUUAGCGGCGGACGGGUGAGUAACACGUGGAUAACCUACCUAUAAGACUGGGAUAACUUCGGGAAACCGGAGCUAAUACCGGAUAAUAUUUUGAACCGCAUGGUUCAAAAGUGAAAGACGGUCUUGCUGUCACUUAUAGAUGGAUCCGCGCUGCAUUAGCUAGUUGGUAAGGUAACGGCUUACCAAGGCAACGAUGCGUAGCCGACCUGAGAGGGUGAUCGGCCACACUGGAACUGAGACACGGUCCAGACUCCUACGGGAGGCAGCAGUAGGGAAUCUUCCGCAAUGGGCGAAAGCCUGACGGAGCAACGCCGCGUGAGUGAUGAAGGUCUUCGGAUCGUAAAACUCUGUUAUUAGGGAAGAACAAAUGUGUAAGUAACUAUGCACAUCUUGACGGUACCUAAUCAGAAAGCCACGGCUAACUACGUG
This 497-nucleotide ribosomal RNA is filed under the name uncultured bacterium. RNAcentral describes it as "partial 16S ribosomal RNA". It matches the Rfam family "Bacterial small subunit ribosomal RNA", at positions 28 to 507 of the family's 1533-position model. The record is from RNAcentral.